Cololabis saira (Pacific saury) is the source of this 6238-nucleotide long non-coding RNA. RefSeq lists it as uncharacterized. NCBI's taxonomy places the organism in Eukaryota, Metazoa, Chordata, Actinopteri, Beloniformes, Belonidae. The transcript is spliced from 9 exons. The record is from RefSeq and is a predicted model, not a curated record.
UCUGUGUGAGCGUGUUGUUCAGAACAUCGGUGGGUUUCUUCUUCCCGCUGGACAUUGGUUCAUCUGCCGGUUGCUACAGAAACUGACUGAAAGACAUCAACAGAUUGUGGUGGACCUUCUCGUUUCCCAGCAGGUGAACCCUCGUGGCCGCUACUUCCCGUUUCCUGCAGAAUGUUUUCUUCUUUCAGGUCGACGUCAGCAUGAGCUCUCAGACGACUCCCGGACCUUUGGUUCAAACAUCAACAGAAAGUGCUGCUACUUUUUCGGACCUCGUCACAAAGAUCGGGAGAAAGGACAUCUACAGCAGCAGUGAAGAUUUUGCAAUCUUGAUCGGAGGGAUUGUGAGUGUCGUCCUGAUCCUGUUCCUCUGCACCAUCGCCGUGCUGCUGUGGUGUCUGUCCAGACAAAAAGGCUCGUAUGAGACGGGCGAGACGGAGGACGAUGAGGACGACGACGAAGACGAGUCCUCUGACCUGCAGUCCAAACAACCCCUGAAGGACAAGGAGGACGACUGAGUCUGCAGACUUGUUUCAUGGAGGAAACAAGGAUGAUGGAGAGGAAAUGUUUAUUUUUUUCAUAAUUAGUGCAUAUUGUAAAAAAGAACAAAUAUUUUUCAGCUUUCCUUUUUUUCAUUGCAAGUUGGUGAUGUCAGUAAGCUUCUGCCCUUAAAGAAAAAGUUCCCUGACAUCUGUGAUAUCAGUCUCCACCAGGUCUUUAGCUGUGUUCAUAAUCAGCUGUUGGAGUCAAACUCAUCCCUCCUCCAGCAUGUGUUUAAUGUAAAACCAGAGCUGCAGUUUUGUGCUUUUUAUUAGGAAAAAAAUCAGCGUGAUGUAAAAGAAAAAUAAUGUAAAGAUGAAGAUGUAAACCCUGGUUAAAUGUAUUCUACCGUUGGUACAGUGGUUCAAUCAAAUACAUAAAAGUAAAUCAGUAUCACAAUCGUUAAAUGUUUGUGUUGAACCAAUGUCUAUAAAAUUCUGCAGCUUCUCAAAAUCAUAAACAUCGUUGUGAUCAAAGAUCACGCUGUCCCAGAAACUAUGACGCUGUGACGUGUACAUGAACACAGAGCGCAAUUUUUUUUUUUUGAUCAAAUUUUUAUUUUAUUUUCAUUCAAACAGAAAACAAACAAUGAUGCACAGGCACUGAAUAUAUUGUUACAUCAAUCCCCCCACCCCCACUCUACCCACUUGGACACACACAUAAAAUGAAAUAAACUAUUAAAAGACCAGGGCAAUUAUUUGACGUCCGUAUAUGAAAUUAAAAUAAAAUCGAGACAGGGCGGCUAAAGCAAGUAAAAAAAAAAAGAAAAAAAAAAAAGAGAGAGAGACUCGCGGACUUGUGAAACAGUUAAUAUAUAUCCUCACGGUGCUAAGCAAGUUAAGUCAAAUACACAACAAAAAAAAACACACGAGGAUCAAAGCAAGCGCUUCAGUGCUUCAGCUGUGGUGAGCCACAUAUUCACAUUAGCCUCUUUGGCCCCAUUUAUACGAGCUGUUGAUAACUCCAUGUAAGUAACAUCAAGAAAAGUCAAGAUCCAUUGUUUGAUGGACAAAGUAUGAGGGGGCUUCCAACGUACUGCUAUCAUUUUCUUAGCAGCUGUUAGACCUGCUAAUAUGACCCGUUUCUGACGUUCAGGGACUGGAAGUGCGUAAAUAUCAUUCAGUAAUAACACUGGUAUGGUCACAGGUAAUGUGUCUGAUAUGAGAGUCGUCAGCUCAGCGGCCACGCCCUGCCAAAAUCGAGCGACGGGGGAGCACUCCCACACCAUGUGGAGAAAAGUGCCAGGAGUUUUUAAUGUACACAGCAUGCAUGAGGGAUCACUGAUAACUUUCAUAAAAUGUAGCCUACGAGGGGUCAGGUAGGUCCUAUGCACGAAAUUAUGAUGGAUCUGUUGAUGGUCAGGAUUUCGAGAGGCAAGUUUGAUAUUGGCCCACACCUCAUCCCAGUCAAAAUCCUGAACCAGUCCGGGGACAUCACCCCUCCACAUCCUGUCUACUGGAAGCGUUUUGUAGGAGGCCUCAAGCAUGUAUAGAUACAAAGUGGAUACCAUCCCCCUCGAGGGUCUAUUAGUAAUGACCACCUCGUGAAGUGGAUGUGUAGGUAGCGGGUGCUGCCAAGGUACACCGUGUGCUUUAAGAGACGCUCUCAGCUGCAAAUAAAAAAAAAGGAAGUGCCUGGUAAAUUGAAGUUAUUCUUAAUGUCCUGAAAAGAGCGUAAACCAUCUAAGCUGAAUAUAUCACCCAAAAACUGUAUACCUCCCCUUUCCUACUGAGAAUAGGUGAUAGGUCUCCCCCCGAUCAGCAAGUCCUUAUUAUUGAAAAUUGGUGAUUGUAGGUGCCAUCUACAAGAAAUAUUACAAAUCCUUUCUACCGAGCACCAAACCCGAAUCAGAUGGGACACAAUGGGGCCGCAGCGCAGCUGACACUGCCUCACAGAGACAUUUGCAAAUAAAACAUCUGCCAAAGACCAAGGGUGCACCAUUCUUUCUUCCAUUGCGCGCCAGGAGACCAACGCCUGAGAGUCAAACCAUGUGACCAGGGGUCUGAGAGAGAAAGACCAAUGAUAAAAUUUGAAGUUGGGAACUGCUAAACCUCCAUCUAAUCUCUUGCGCUGGACAGUGGCAGAUCUGAGGCGGGGUCUCUUGCCAUUCCAGAUAAAUCUCGAAACAGCCGCCUGCAGUUUACCCCAGUAUCCAGUAGGGGGAGGGAGGGGGACCAUAGAGCUAACAAAGUUUAUUCUGGGCAAUACAUUCAUUUUGACAAUAGAAAUGCGAGCCUGAAGUGAGUUGGGCAGGCUGGACCAUCUCUCCAAAUCACCCAAGACCUUAUUCAGUGCCUCAGUAUAAUUGUGCUUCACAAUAAGGUGUAAAGAGGGAAAUAUCUCAAUGCCCAAAUAUUUGAAAUGUGGAACCGAGGGAAUAUUAGGAGGUAAAACAGAGUUCCCAGCCACUUUGUUCAAUGGCAGCAGAGCCGACUUCGACCAAUUAAUUUUGAACCCUGAUAGCGAGCCAAAUUCAUCCAACAUUGAUAAAAGGUGGGGGGCAGACUGUAACGGGUCGCCAAGAAAGAUUAAAAUGUUGUCAGCGUAAAGCGCCAGGUGGUGGUGUGUGUUAUGAACAGUUAUGGGCUUAAUAACCGGUGAUAAUCGGAUCAUCUGCACCAGGGGUUCCAGAGACAGAGCAAACAGCGUCGGGCUCAAAGGACAGCCCUGACGAGAUGACCUAGUUACUGUGAACAGAGUUGAGCAAAUGUUACCUGUAAGAACCAUUGCAGAGGGGUUUGAAUAUAAUAGCUGUAACAUUUUUACAAAACCGUCUCCAAAACCCAUUGCCCCCAACACCGACCACAAAAAGGGCCACUCAAGGCGGUCGAACGCCUUCAUCGCGUCAAGGGAUAAAAUAGCUGCCGGAUGUUUGAUGUCUGUUGCGGCGUCGAUUACGUGCAACAGUCGGCGGACAUUGUCAGAGGCUAGACGCGAUUUCAUAAAGCCUGUCUGGUCACAUUGAACCAGUGAUGAGACAUGCGGUUGCAGACGUCGAGAGAGAGCCUUGGCAUAAAUCUUUACAUCGGCGUUCAACAGACUAAGGGGCCUGUAAUUACCACAUUCCGUCGGGUUUUUAUCCUUUUUCAGUAGUAAGGUGAUUACAGCUGUAUUCACAUCCCUAGAAAAAGUGCCCUUCUCCAUCGAAAAAUGGAUCAUACUGAGAAGCAGCGGGCCAAGAAGGUCCCAGAAGGCAGCGUAAAAUUCUGGCGGAACGCCAUCGAGACCAGGUGAUUUGCCCCUUUGCAUACUGAGCACAGCCCUCUUAAGUUCUUCAAGAGAAAAUGGUUUUGCCAACUCAUUUGCCGCCUCCACCGCAAGACGAGGUAACUUUAAUUGGGCCGAAUAAUCGUCACAUUUAUCUUUGUCGAUAAGUAUGUCUGAUUCAUACAGGUCAGAAUAAAACUGCGAAAAGAGUUGUUAAUCUGCAUUGGGUCGAUGGUAAUAGCUCCUGACUGUAAUUUGAUAGAGGAGAUAUCUGAAAACUGCUCAUUUGACCUAAUCUUCAUCGCCAACAGGUGGCUGGGCCUUGACCCAUGAAAAUAAUAACGCUGCCUGGUCCUGUGGAUUAAGAACUCUGAUCGGCGUCUGAGGAUGGCAUUGAUUUCUUUUUUGAUCACCUCACGCUGCAAGACUAUCUGUUCUGAGUAAUUAGCAGACAACACGGAUUCUAGUUUUGUAAGUUUGUUUUCCAAUUCAUGUAAUUUAGAAAUUUGCAUCUUGCGCUGGUUGGAGGAAAACCAUGUGGCAUUACCCCUGAUAAAACCUUUAAUUGAGUCCCAAAGUAUUCUAGGAUCGUCGACUGAACCAACAUUGAACUCCAAGAAUUCCUUAAGUUUUUCUAUAAAUUGUGCCCUAAACUCUUCUUGUCUUAACAGGGUUGUGUUAAGGCGCCAUUUUGGUGCACGAGGGGAAGCGUUGACGAGCACCGAUGAACAAAGCACACCUUUAUGAUCGGAGAGGGCUAUGGGAAGCAGAGAAACAUUGUGAAUAUUAGAAAAGAGUUUAGGGGACGCAAAUAUGUAGUCAAUUCUUGUGUCGAGCAGAGAAAAAGGAGUAGUCCUUGAUUGAUGGAUUAGUCGAACACCAAAGAUCUGUGAGCCCCAAGCUGCUAGCCCACGUCUGUAAAGCUGUGGACGCUAGUUUCUGAUCCCUUGUCUCAGAUUUACUUGACCUGUCAUUGGCUGCACUCCAAACAGCGUUAAAGUCUCCCCCCACAACUAACGAAUAAUCAUUCAGUUCCAGCAUACUAUUUGUCAAGUUUUCGUAAAAGACCCUAUUAAAACAGUUUGGUGCAUACACCGAUACGAAGGCAACUUUCCUGCUGCUAAUUUCUGUCUUCACAAUUGCCAGCCUGCCCUCCUUGUCAGAGCAUGUGUCAUGGAUUUUAACUUUAAAGUUACGUCUGGCUACAACCGCCACACCCUUGGUCUUUGUACCAGACGAGGAGGAAGCUAUCACAUGAUAAUGUUUAUCUGCCAGGCGUCUGACAUCAGCAGCCAAGAGAUGCGUCUCCUGCACCAAUGCAACGUCUAUUCUCCUUCUGCGAAAUAAACUCAAGGUGCUAAUCCUCUUGUGAGGGCUAUUCAGGCCGCCCGCAUUCCAGCUCAAAAUAUUAAGUUCAGGCAUAAUUUAGAAUGAAGCCUCUAUAGCGGAUGCGGACAGAGACAUGCAAACAGCCCCUGCGACCCUCUGAAAUGAUGAACCCAAGCAGAUAUGUAACCCCGGUGGGCAGAAGAGAACCUGGAAACGGGUCAAAAUGAAAUAUAAAAAAAUUGUCCAAAUUGCUAAUAAGAAGACUGCAGAGGCGAGAAGGACUGGCGCAGAGAUAACUGAGCCCCUCACCCCUGUCGAGGAGCUGGCAGUAUCUGUAAAUCGGGGACGGCCGAUGAUGGAGGGGAUUCCUGGGGGGGACUUCAUCAGAGCCGGCCACCUCCCAGGAGGAGCACACCCCUCUUGUCCAAUGUAUUUUUCCUAAUUACGCCUAAUAGCCAGCACUUCAUGCGGGAAAGGAACUGCCUGACGGUCGGUGCGUAAAGUGUGCCUUGCGCUAAAGCACUUCAUGCACAACUUUAUUCGUUUUCCUGGCCACAAACCUACGAGGGUCAUUAAGACGCAGUUCCACCAACUGGCAGGCUUUCCCAACGUUAUUAGAUGCAUCGAUGGGACGCAUGUGCCAAUUACAGCACCAUCCCAAAAUGAGGCUGACUUUAACAGAAAAGGUUUCGACAGCAUCAAUGUCCAAAUGAUGCGAUGCUGCAAAUCUAAUAUCAAACGUGGAGGCGAGAUGGCCAGGCUCUGUGCAUGAUGCCAGGAUGAGAAUUUGCUGGCUAUCUCCUGGGGGAUGGAGGAUAUCCGUGCCUCCCCACGCUCAUUACCCCGUACCCCGAUCCGGAUGCUGGAGCGCAAACACGCUUCAACGUGGCUCACAGCAGAACUCCGGGAGAAACUGAGAUGACUUUUGGGAUUCUCAAGGAGAGGUUUAAGUGCUUGUGCAGGCUGAAGGUCUGCCCAGACAGGGCUGGGAUAGAAUUGUUGCAUGUGCCAUAUUGCACAACACUGCCACAUUGCGCAAUUAAUUGACUCCAGUCAUUGAGGAGCCGGUACCGGCUCAUCCCUUUCAGCAGGUUGACAUGGCAAAUGGUCACAGAGUGCGUGAUCAAAUCCGUCUCAAUCAUAUCAAUUAAAAAAAUACAGUUGA